RNAcentral lists this non-coding RNA (24 nucleotides) under Arabidopsis thaliana (thale cress). RNAcentral also lists the same sequence under 8 other names. The record is from RNAcentral. Lineage: Eukaryota; Viridiplantae; Streptophyta; Magnoliopsida; Brassicales; Brassicaceae.
UCCCUGCCCUUUGUACACACCGCC